ACAACGGGUGGAGCCUGCGGUUUAAUUGGACUCAACGCCGGGCAGCUCACCGGAUAAGACAGCUGGAUGAUAGCCGGGCUGAAGACUCUGCUUGACUAGCUGAGAGGAGGUGCAUGGCCGUCGUCAGUUCGUACUGUGAAGCAUCCUGUUAAGUCAGGCAACGAGCGAGACCCACGCCAACAGUUGCCAGCAUGUCCUCCGGGAUGAUGGGGACACUGUUGGGACCGCCUCUGCUAAAGAGGAGGAAGGAAUGGGCAACGGUAGGUCAGCAUGCCCCGAAUUAUCCGGGCUACACGCGGGCUACAAUGGUCAGGACAAUGGGUAUCGACACCGAGAGGUGGAGGCAAUCUCCUAAACCUGUCCUUAGUUCGGAUUGUGGGCUGCAACUCGCCCACAUGAAGCUGGAAUCCGUAGUAAUCGCGUUUCAAAAUAGCGCGGUGAAUAUGUCCCUGCUCCUU
RNAcentral lists this ribosomal RNA (458 nucleotides) under uncultured Methanolinea sp. RNAcentral describes it as "bacterial SSU rRNA". It matches the Rfam family "Archaeal small subunit ribosomal RNA", at positions 881 to 1338 of the family's 1478-position model. Lineage: Archaea; Methanobacteriati; Methanobacteriota; Methanomicrobia; Methanomicrobiales; Methanoregulaceae. The record is from RNAcentral.